UACAGAGGGGGCAAGCGUUGUUCGGAAUUACUGGGCGUAAAGGGCGCGUAGGCGGCCUGUUAAGUCGAACGUGAAAUCCCCGGGCUCAACCCGGGGAACUGCGUCCGAUACUGGCAGGCUUGAAUUCGGGAGAGGGAUGCGGAAUUCCAGGUGUAGCGGUGAAAUGCGUAGAUAUCUGGAGGAACACCGGUGGCGAAGGCGGCAUCCUGGACCGAGAUUGCGCUGAGGCGCGAAAGCCAGGGGAGCAAACGGG
Molecule: ribosomal RNA, 253 nt
Filed under: uncultured bacterium
Lineage: Bacteria
Description: partial 16S ribosomal RNA
Rfam family: Bacterial small subunit ribosomal RNA
Source: RNAcentral